UGGCCAUGCUACCCUGAAUGCGCCAUCUCAUCUGAUCUCAGAAGGUAGGCAGGGUUGAGCCUGGUCAGUACUUGGGCAGGAGAAUCCCUUCUUGUUUAGCCUUCAGUGGAUGGAACAAGGCCCAC
This 125-nucleotide ribosomal RNA is filed under the name Jaculus jaculus (lesser Egyptian jerboa). The record is from RNAcentral. Lineage: Eukaryota; Metazoa; Chordata; Mammalia; Rodentia; Dipodidae.